CGCAAGGUGGAAGUUUUGCCGAGUGUGCGAAACAUCCUUGCACUGGCCCUGAGCAUCCCUGAGCUGUGCUGCCACUGGGGUCACCCCUUCCAGGACUGGGGACAGUAGGUUACAGUGGAGUACCCUUACCCACCCCCACCCCCUCAUCAACUCUGCUUCUCCUUCCUGGCCUACAUGCCUCAGUUUCCACCUCUUAAACCACUUCACUUCAUCUCCUGCUCCCCUAACUCCAGGCACUCACACCCUCCCCCAAUCACCUAGAUAAAGCCCCCUAAUCCCUCUCAUUCCCUUCCCCCAGGGCACCUGCCCCCGAAUCCUCCUUAUCCAAAAAUCCUCUCAUCUCCCCAAGCCCCUGCAUCCCUCCUGCUCCUGCCCAUUCCCAUAUCCCCUGAGCGGGUCCUAAAGCAACCUGUCUCCACUUCAACCCAGAUGGGCCUAGCCACAACCCAACAUCCCGAAACUGCCAGGAGCCCCAAUCCCUCUGCUUAUCUCCCAUCUGCCCCCCAAUUGACCGUCAGCCUAAAUCCUCCUCUGGACGCCCCCCUCCGUAAGCCAGCGACCCUCGGCGCCCAUCCACAGCCCCCACUAUUGCCAUGUGCCCAGCUAAGGCUCGCUGGGGGUGGGAAGGAGGCGGAGGGAAGAAAUGAAGCAGUGCCUUGUGGGAGAUGGAGUGUGCCCCGGCCUACAUCUCCCAUCAGCCACUGCAGAGCCUUCGGCACCGAUGGGAGAGGCAGUGUCCUGUGCCGAGUGCCUUGUGUUUGGGCAGGAGGCUCUUAUGGUAUUACAGCUUCCGUUUGCAGGGCGGAGCCAGAAAUGGAAGUAGCGGGAAGAGGAAGUGAUAUCAGCGGUCUGGAAACCAACCGCGGUCCACUAGGGGACUCGGCUUCGUUCUGCGCGAGUCGCUUCCGUCAAGAGUGAGUUUGCAGAGGAAUCGUCCAGGAGCCUUAGCUGGACGAGAAUAUGGCAGAAGUGGACCUGAGCAGCCUGAACAUCCUUCUAAGGAAACAUGAACAGUCCUCAUGUUUCUGCCUUCUGCAUAACUGGCUGAAAAAGAAGUCACGCAUCAGAGUCUACUACCCUCAUGCGAUGGAAAGCGAGCAAGAGCGAUGAGAUCCUGAACAUUGUUGAUGCCAAGCAAAAGCCACCAAACUGGGAGCGAAACAGCUGCUACUGUCAGUGAGAUAAAUGUCUGUUUUAGUGAUUGCUCUGCUCACGGCCCACCUUGCUCCUGGUAGGGAAGCCCUGUAAGGUGGGGCUGGGUUUCUAAGAAAAGGUUCCUGACUAGCUGUGGUUAUGAGGGAGACAAGAUCCCCAAUUUCAGGGGCUUAUAAUUUCUCUGGGCAGGAGAAGUGUGUCCUAUGCAGCAGAAGGUUGCAUCUAGGAGGAUGACUCCAGGUGGUGAGUUGCUUGCCUUCCUCCCAUGUUUUUCUCUCUGUGUGUGUCUCUCUCUCUUCUCUAGUGUGUUGGCCAACUUUCUCGCUCUCUGUCUCUCCUCUCCUCUCUUUGUGCUGUCUCCCUUCAUAGGACACACGUAGCUUUCCACAGGUGAGGUCUCGGGAGCCAGGAAGAAGUAGGAGGGGACGAAAAUCAUGCAGGGCAGUGGGUGCGAGAGUGGAGCAGUGACUGUCUGUGUUAACUCAGUCUCUGUUCAUCGGGUGGGGCUCAUGUAGAUGGGAUGGAAGAGGGAGGCAGGGCUGAGAGCAAGAUUUCAAGCACCAAUAGAGCUUUGUUGAGUGAUGGCUCAUGCUUAGUUUUUGCAGCUGCUCUUGCAGAGUAAUUGUCCAGGAGCGCUAGCCGGAGGAGAAAUGGCAGCGGUGUACCUAAGCAGCUUGGCCAUCCUUCUAAGGAAACAUGAACUGUCGUCAGCUUUCUGCCUCCCGCUUAACUGGCUUACCAAGGGAAAAGAAGUCACGUGUCAGAGUCUACUGCCCUCAUGCGAUGGAAAGCGAGCGAGAGCAACCAGACACUGAGCAUUGUUGAUGCCACCAAAAGCCGUCCAGUUGGGAACAGAACAGCUGCCGCUGUCAGUGAGAUAAGUGCCUGUUUUGGUGAUUGCUCUGCUUGUGGCCCACCUUGCUUCUGGUAGCGACAUCCCGUUAGCUGGGGUGGCUUUGUAAGAAAAUGUUCCUGACUAGCUGUAGUUAUGAGGGAGACAAGGUCCCCAUUUUCAGGGACUGCUCAUUUCUCUGGCCAGGAGCAGUGUAUCCUCUGCAGCAGAAGAUUAGAUUGAGGAAGGUGACUGCAGGUGCUUCGCAGAAGAAUUGUCCAGGAGCCCUAGCCGGAGGAGAAAGUGGCAGAGGUGUACCUGAGCAGCUUGGACAUCCUUCUAAGCAGACAUGAAGAGUCCUCCGCUUUCUACCUCCCACUUAACUGGCUGCGAGUAAGCGAAAUCAAACGUCAGAAUUUACUCCCCUAUUUGGAUGGAAAGCGAGCGAGAGCAGUGAGCCCGUGAGCAUUGUUUAUGCAAGCCAGGAGCCGUCCAGUUAGCAGUGAGCAGUCACUACUGUCAUUGAGAAGUGUCUGGUUUGGUGAGGUCUCUGCUCACAGCCUGUCUGGCUCCAGGAGCAGUGUGUCCUCCGCAGCAGAAGGUUGCAUCAAGGAGGAUGACUCCAGGUGCUACUCUCGCAGAGGAAUUCUCCAGGAGCCUGAGCCGGAGGAGAAAUGGCCGAGGUGUACCUGAGCAGCUUGGACAUCCUUCUAAGCAGACAUGAAGAGACCUCAGCUUUCUUCCUCCUGCUUAAUUGGCUCUGAGUAAGAGUACCAAGGAAAAAGAAGUUAAGCAUCAGAGUCUACUGCUCUCAUGCGAUGGAAAGUGAGUGAGAGCAGCGAGCCUGUGAUCAUUGUUGAUGCCAGGCAAGAGCUGUCCAUCUGGGAGCCGAGCAGCCGCCACUGUCCGUGAGAUAAGUGCCUGGUUUGGUGAGGUAUCUGCUCAAGCCCCCCCUGAGUCCAGAGGCUGCUCAUUUCUCUAGUCAGGACCGGUGUUGCGUCCGCAGCAGAAGGUUACAUCUAGGAGGAUGACUCCGGGUGGAACGGUGUCUCCUCCGCAGCAGAAGGUUGCAUCGAAGAGGAUGACUCCAGCUGGACAGGGGUACGUGUGCGUUCCAAGAGGUGAGGUCUCGGGAGCCAUGGAGAAGUCGGAGCGGAUGAAAAUCACGCAGGGCAGUAGAAAGGCUGCUGAAAGUACCUGAAGAGACAAAGGAACUGAGAAGGGGGAAGUCCAGGGCUGAGUCCAGACUAAGACAGGAGUCUAGUCUGUGAGGAGAAACAA
This is a long non-coding RNA of Chelonia mydas (Green sea turtle), 3268 nucleotides long. RefSeq lists it as uncharacterized. NCBI's taxonomy places the organism in Eukaryota, Metazoa, Chordata, Testudines, Cheloniidae. The record is from RefSeq and is a predicted model, not a curated record. The transcript is spliced from 12 exons.